Molecule: ribosomal RNA, 301 nt
Filed under: uncultured bacterium
Lineage: Bacteria
Description: partial 16S ribosomal RNA
Rfam family: Bacterial small subunit ribosomal RNA
Source: RNAcentral
CAGCAGCCACGGGAAUACGUAGGGUGCAAGCGUUAAUCGGAAUUACUGGGCGUAAAGCGUGCGCAGGCGGUCCGCUAAGACAGAUGUGAAAUCCCCGGGCUUAACCUGGGAACUGCAUUUGUGACUGGCGGGCUAGAGUAUGGCAGAGGGGGGUAGAAUUCCACGUGUAGCAGUGAAAUGCGUAGAGAUGUGGAGGAGUACCGAUGGCGAAGGCAGCCCCCUGGGCCAAUACUGACGCUCAUGCACGAAAGCGUGGGGAGCAAACAGGAUUAGAUACCCCUGUAGUCCCUGUCUCUUAUAA